This 1199-nucleotide long non-coding RNA is filed under the name Phasianus colchicus (ring-necked pheasant). RNAcentral describes it as "lncRNA (ENSPCLG00000016836.1)". The record is from RNAcentral. Lineage: Eukaryota; Metazoa; Chordata; Aves; Galliformes; Phasianidae.
AGGCAUCAAUGGGGGGCAUGGAAACCAACACAACCAUCAAUGGGGGGCAUGGCAUCAAUGGGGGGGGUGUGGGAAUCACCACAGGCAUCAAUGGGGGGCAUGGGAACCAACGUGGCCGUCAAUGGGGCAUGCAGCCAUCAAUGGGGGGCGUGGGAAUCUCCACAGCCAUCAAUGGGGGGUGUGGGAAACAAUGCAGACAUCAAUGGGGGAGGGGGGUGGGAAAGAAUGCAGCCAUGAAUGGGGUGCGUGGGAAACAUUGUGGCCGUCAAUGGGGGGGCGUGGGAAACAUUGUGGCCGUCAAUGGGGGGGCAGAGGGGGAAGAAUGCAGCCAUCAAUGGGGGCUGUGGGAAACAAUGUGGCCAUCAAUGGGGAGUGUGGGAACCACCAUGGGGUGUUUGGGAAACAAUGCAGCCAUCAAUGGAGGGCGUGGGAACCACCAUGAGGUGUUUGGGAAACAAUGCAGCCAUCAAUGGAGGCGUGGGAAACAAUGCAGCCAUCAAUGGAGGCGUGGGAAACAAUGCAGCCAUCAAUGGGGGGUGUGGGAAACAAUGCAGCCAUGAAUGGGGGGUGUGGGAAACAUUGUGGCCAUCAAUGGGGGAGGUGUGGGAAACAAUGCAGCCGUCAAUGGGGAGCGUGGGAACCAGCACGGGGUGUGUGGGAAACAAUGCAGCCAUCAAUGGAGGCGUGGGAAACACUGUGGCCGUCAAUGGGGGGCGUGGGAAACAACAUGGGGUGUGUGGGAAACGUUGUGGCCAUCUAUGGGGAGCUGGGAAACAAUGAAGCCAUCAAUGGGGGGCGUGGGAAGCAAUGCAGCCAUCAAUGGAGGCGUGGGAAACAAUGCAGUCAUCAAUGGAGGCGUGGGAAUUAACGCGGCCAUCAAUGGGGGAGCGUGGGAACCAAGCUUCCAGCAGCGCCCAUUCACCACUCUGGCCCCCAAUGGCCCCCAUUGAUACAAAUCCCAUUCAUCCCAAUGCCCCCAGUGACCCCACUGACCCCAGUGACCCCAUUGACCCCAUUGACCCCCAUUGACCCCAAUGUCCCCAUUACCCCCAAUGUCCCCAUUUGUCCCCACUGACCCGAAAGGCCCCCAAAUGUCCCCAAGGUCUCCAUUGACCCCACUGACCCCAAAGUUCCCCACUGACCCCAUUGAGCCCAAAGCUCCCAUUCACUUCAAUGUCUCCCACUGACCCCAUUGACCC